This is a long non-coding RNA of Fundulus heteroclitus (mummichog), 1170 nucleotides long. RefSeq lists it as uncharacterized. The record is from RefSeq and is a predicted model, not a curated record. The transcript has 3 exons. Lineage: Eukaryota; Metazoa; Chordata; Actinopteri; Cyprinodontiformes; Fundulidae.
UUCAACAAAGUCGAUGAUUUUUCCGAUUGUUCGUCACCAAACCCUGAUUUUAGUCCCGCAGGAAAUUUGUGAGCCGAGCUGAAAACAAGCCUGACCCAGUUAAACCAGUUCUGCCAGGAGGAACAGGGCCAAUUGCUGUAAACUAUCACGAUUUUGCUAAUCUAAGCCGACCUGAAACAUGAACAUUUUGGUUUGAAUUAAUUUUAAGGAAGUGAGAAAGGUGACUAUAUCUCUUUAACACAUUUUAAUUUUACAUCUGGUUUUAACCGUAUGUCUAUGACUGUUCUUCUUUAAAGACGAGGAAACCACCAGACGGAUACAAACAACUUCAUACAUGGGUCUAAUUGUUGUAACUGGACUUGUCAUGGUUUUCAUCGGCGCAACUAGAGUCAUUCUGGGAUUUGUCUACAGAGAUAUUUCUCCUGGAAACCGACUGGAAGCCCUGACCAGGCAUGAACUGAGCAGCACAGUAUUAUACAAGGAAGCAGUGAAGGCUGAGCCGGACCACUUCAGACAGGAAGAGGCGGAGCUUUAUUCUAAAGCCAAAAUGGUCUUUUGUCAAACUAGAAAUGAAUAAAACAUGCUUGAAAGAGUUUAUACAGAUUAAGAGAGGAUUUCACCUCCUUCACGUGAGCAAUGUUUGUCUCAAGAUUUUAAAAAAAGUGCUGUUUAAAAGUUAGUUUGUGAAGUUACUUCACUAUGUAGUUUAUAACUCAGUUUUCUCAUGUUACACAGAUAUUUUUUCACCUUCAGGUGUUAAUGAAUUUCAUUAAACUGAACAUAGGCUUUAAUGUCAUACUAUUUGGGCAGUGAAAUUAUUCUUUUUACUGGUGUUUGUUCAGCCUUGAAUGGUUAUACAAUAUCCAACCUUGAUGAAUUUCUAAAAUGAGAAAUGGUAGGCAGUUUAAUUUUUAUUUAGGAGCUUUAAUUGUUCUAAGCUCCACUGGGUCAAAAACAUUUGUAGAGGCUUGAACUUAUACAGACACUUAAUCAAUAUUUGGGUAAAUGUCUCAUAGCAAGUUGCAUCUGGUAAAUAUUUCCUUAACCAUCAGCAGGUUUCAGGUUGACAUCUGCCUGGAUGUUUUUGUUGGAGAACUGGAAGCUAUUGGUUUCCUUCAUGGGCCAUGUAGUCCUCUCUGCCUAAUUAAAAGCUUAAUUUGGUAAAACAUA